This 69-nucleotide transfer RNA is filed under the name Sphaerodactylus townsendi. Its description in RNAcentral is "tRNA-Ala". The record is from RNAcentral. Lineage: Eukaryota; Metazoa; Chordata; Lepidosauria; Squamata; Sphaerodactylidae.
UCUGUGACUCAGUGGAAGAACCUCUGCUUUGCAUACUGGAGGUCCCAGGUUCGAUCCCUGGCAUCUCAA